Calypte anna (Anna's hummingbird) is the source of this 256-nucleotide long non-coding RNA. RefSeq lists it as uncharacterized. NCBI's taxonomy places the organism in Eukaryota, Metazoa, Chordata, Aves, Apodiformes, Trochilidae. The transcript is spliced from 4 exons. The record is from RefSeq and is a predicted model, not a curated record.
GGCAGGGCGGCGGAGCCCUCUCUUAGCCCCUCGGCGCGGCAGAGCGUCCUGGGGUGCCGGCAGCCGCCGCGGCGCUCAGAUUGUGGAAACCUGAACUGAAAUAUCCUGUGACUGACAACGACACCAAAAGAUUCACCAGUAUAUAGUCUUGGACCUGACACACUGACUGGAGUCUGCUUGUUCACAGAUCACAAAGGAACAGAGAAUUUGCCUUGUUUAACAACAGACACAGCAUCUUGUCAUCUGCUUAACCAGG